Serinus canaria (Common canary) is the source of this 13042-nucleotide long non-coding RNA. RefSeq lists it as uncharacterized. Lineage: Eukaryota; Metazoa; Chordata; Aves; Passeriformes; Fringillidae. The record is from RefSeq and is a predicted model, not a curated record. The transcript has 2 exons.
CUAUUCUCUUCUUUUUCACCUAUCUUACAAUAAUCAUAUAGUCUUCUCCUUAAUGUACUGCUUAGUACUCAUUUUCUGGUUGCAGCAAUUUCUUUUGUAGUCUGGAAUUCUUACAGAGGCUGAGGAAAUGAGACCUACCAGUUGGAAUUGAUUGCAGGUGUCAUUAAGUCUAUAUGAAGAAUUGAUUUUGUUUCCCUCUAGUGAUGAGGUAAAAAAACCAAACCAAACCAAACCAAACCAAACCAAACCAAACCAAACCAAACCAAACCAAACCAAACCAAACCAAACCAAACCAAACACCACAAAAAAACCAAGCAAACAAACAGAAAAACACAAAUGAAAAUUAUCAAGAUUUUGGUUUGUAUUAAAAUAAAUAUGGACUUUUAAACUUUUUUUUUCUCCCCAAAUAAGAAUGAAAACUCCCCAAAUAUAUUUUAUGUCAAAUGAAACCUUAUGUUUAAUCCUAAAUGAAACAUUUAUUUUCCCAAGCGUUUACAAGAAAAGCAAAGGAAAUGAAGGGAUAGAGUCACAAAACUGGAAAGUGAAAUGGACAGUUGGACAGUUUUAGCUUAGUGCCAGAGAACUGUUCUGUCACUUUUCAACUUUGUAUAAAUAUUUAUUAGAAAACAGAAAUGAGCCCAGAGGACUGUUACAACUUGCAGGCUACCUUCACCUCCUCCUUUGUCUAUUUCCCUUGAAGAUUUAAAAAAAAUAUUUAACAAAAAGUAGACUAGAAGGCAGCAUCUUCACUCCCAUCCUUUCCUGAAGCACAGCAGUGGUAAAGACAAAGGGUGAGUUCACACACACCUUCUUUGCAUGGCAUAACAUUUAACCACUCCUGACAUGUACAACUCACUUUUCCUGUGCUACCAAGCCCCUGGAGCACAAAGCAGUGAAUUUUAACUCAGAUCUCUGUAGCAAACAUCCAAACCAUCAGGUUUUAGUGGUGCUCCCUCAGUCACUUCUGCUGAAGCUCUUCUACCCUGUUUUUUAGGGUUUUUGGGAGGUAAGACAACUAGAGGAAGUGAAUGUGGCUCCCUACCCCAAGGGGUAGGAUGUUCAGCUGGAAGGUGAGAAACCUGCAAUUCAGGGUUUUUAAAGUUACUGAUUGCUAGUGAAAUAAGACAGCCUGGCAGAUUGAGGUAGAUGACCUGCCCUGAGCAAGAGAAGAGUUGAUAUCAUGGGUGAGCUUCUGGGAGGUGAGGGCCAUUGGUUACAUCUCCUCUGGCAGAGGAGGAAAACCAGUGUUUUCUCACAUCCAGCUGUGUUUUCCCUCUAGUAUAAUACUAGCUGAAAGUAUACCACAACUGAUACUCUCCCAAGUCUGCUUUUUUAAACUUUUCUUCAAGCCAAAAUGAUUUGGUGAAUUUGACCAGCCUGCCCUUUGCUACAUAUAUUACAUGGCAGGUAUCCCACCAAAUAAAAAAUGUCCUUGAACAUGUGUGAAUUUACAGUACAAGUCCAGAAUAAACAGUGGGCUGAAUUAAGUCGUUAAGGUGAAAUUCACCUUUCCUUUCAGAAAGCUCUAGAAAUCAAGACUAUACAUGGCAUUUCUCUCAACACAAAUGGAGCUGUAGCAGAGUAGUCUAUAGGCAGCAAAGAAAUUUGAAUUGUAGAUUUUAUAGGGUAGAUACCAUAUCUUCUAGGUAUAGUUUUAUGCUUGGUCUAAGCCUUUGACUGAAUAAUCUUUGCUGAAGUUGCCUGCAGCGUUUGGGUGCCUGUAGAGAGAAUAUUAAAUAAGAGGAAACAAAAUACUUUACAUGUGAAGAUGAGCUGAGAGAGGCCAGGUUUAGCCUUGAAUAGGUUUUCCAGAAUUGUACGUUUCUGUGGUAGCAUAUUCAUGAACAAGGAACCUUCUUGUGUUUUCCUGAUACAGACAAGGAAAAAGUCUGAGACCAAGCCAGUCUCUCUGCAUGGAAUCAAGUCACUCCUCCCUUGGAUUGUGGAAGCUUGCAGUCUACUUCCAAUUCAGCUGUAAUUUUCCAAUUUACUGUAUUUUUGUAGGAAAGGGUACCUGUGUAUGUGACUUUGUUUAUGCACAGCAAGAACUUUUGUUGGCAACCUCAGCUUAUGCUCACAAAGUCUAUUUAAGUUGAGCAAGCUGCAUUAAUAGCAGUCAAGCAUUAGUGUUCAGAGCUUGAGGGUAAUCAAAGGGAGGCAGUGAAAAACGAGGUUUUUUUCCUACACAAUUCUUUAUUAGAGCUAAAAAAUGAAAAGCAAUUUUGAAAAAGUGAGAAAGUUUCAUUUUGUCUAUAAAAUGUCAGGAUAACCAGACAAAAAUGAAAAGGGAGAAUCAAGCUCUGACCCAGGUGUUCCAUAAAAGAUCUCCACUGAAUUUUCCCUUGGGUAGCUGAAUUGAGGAUGCUGAAACAGAUUCUUUCUACACUGGUGACACCUAAGUGACCAAUACUUGUUUGUAUUUGUACUUGUCCUUGUUUUGCCAGGACUCAGCAUCAGGACUUUCUUGUGGCAUUAAAAUACAAAAUUUCAGUUUAUUUCAGAACAGAAAAAGACAAAAAUGAUCUUCUACGCAUUUUGCCACUGUGGCUAAGUAAAUACAUAUAAUUUACUUUACGUUUUAUAUAGUACAUAUGCAUAGAAUAUAUGAAAAUUUAUGCUAAAAGUCACAUAAAAAGUAAUUUUUAAUUAUACUAUAAAACUGAAAAUAAUUUCGGAUUGAUCAAAAACUUUCAUUUGACAUAAAGUCAAAUAUUCAGUUUCCUUUGUAAGGUUUUAAACUCUUUUUUAAACGCCUUCAAAGUAAUUGGACAACUUUAAAGUAAAAAUGCCAUUUUAAACAAAAAGGGAAAGAAUACUGAAAAUAUAAAAUGAAACACUUUGGCCUGUCAUUCAUCUUUCUAAGAGCUCAUUGUCAAAACUGUUAAUUAAAUUUCAUCUAUCCUUUCUCUGCCCCCUUGCAAGAAGUGGUUUUCAGCAUGUGAAAUACUCACUGAGCAUAAAUAACCUAAUCUACCCUAGAGACCUCAUGCUGCACUCCUUUCUCUAGUUUGCACAUUUUAUUUGCCAUUAUUUGCAUGCUCAAAUAGCUGCCCUGAUGUUCACUUACCCACUGAGCUGUGCACAGAAGUGUACAAGGCACACUCCUCAGAAGUUUUAACAGAAAGAUCUGUGAUAUCAAUAUGCUAUGAUUGCUGCAGAAUUUGAACAGCUGCCCCAAUAAAUCUCCAGAAGUGCAGUGAGCAGCGCUGACAGAAGCUCCAAUAAUGCCAUGCUACCCUGCUUCCCAUGGGUUUUCCUUUCCUGCCUCCUCACGGUCAGCCACGCUGGUGCUGCUCCAUCUGCUCAACUCCGAGAUGAGUCUGUGUGCUUGCAGAGGAAAUUGGAUUACUUUUUGCACAUUUACAUGCUUGUUUUCAUUUCUUCUGUCAAAAACAUUUCUGACCUGGGAAAGAAGGAGUUAAUAAAAAUAGGCUUUUUGCUCUUGAAAUGUCAGCCGCAGCUUCUCAUCACCCCAUGAAAAGCCCUCUUGUUUCCUUGCUCAGCUCCUCCUGAACUUCAAACAGUCCUAUAAUCCCUUUGACCUUAGAAGGUCAAAGAUAUAUAAAAUGUAUCAUUCUUUGUGUAAAAGUGCAUUAAUCAUUCUUACCUAGCUUUUUAUUCUCUUUUGAGGGCCCUGUGAUAUUUUAAUUCUUGAGCCACCUUCUAGCAUUAACAUAUAUAACUUCAACUCUUUUCUUGAGCAGGUGAAAAGAGGAGAAAUCCUUUCUGUCCCUCCUUUUGCAAACUCACUGAAUAGAGGCAUAUAAUUUAUUUUAAUGAUUAAUUUAAUUGCAUAAUUUAAAACAUUAAUAUUAAUUCAAAAUGCACAUAUGUAUGUCCAAUUGCACUAUAAAUAUUGUUUAAUUAAAGAGUGGAAGCAGAUAUUUAACUAUGCUGCUCUCAAUUUCUAUGAAUUUAGCAGGACUUGAAAGUUCUGGGAGUAAAUUCUGAUGUCAAUGGAAAUCUGGAAUUUAAUUUAGGUCAAUGAAAAAAACCCUCUGGACUUUCGGCUGAAGACAGAAUUUGUUUUCCUUGAGGAGCCGUAUCCUGCAGUGUGGAGGGAAAGGGAAUAGCCAACAUGAAAACCCCUCUAAAAACGAAGCAACUUCAGACAAACUUAAUUAACUGUGUGGAGCCUGUCAAAGGUCAGGGCGAGCUCACUGCAGGAAAUGCAAGUGCAAGACUGAAACAUUGGCAACGAGAGGGUGAGGGCAAAGGCAAGAUGAGCCUUUCAGGCAGGCACGGCUCUGUGCUGGAGAGCCAAGCCACCCGUGUGUGAGGUGCCUGCCAGGGAAGAGCUCCUGCCUCCUUGGGUCCUGCCUUUGUCUGACAGAGUGUAUUGAUGCCAGCAGGCAGCAAUUGUCACAGAACAGAAUCACACAUCACUCGGGUCAUCGUGCACAUGUGUGCUCCUGCAUCAGGCCCUCAGUCAGAGCAGGCAGAGGAAUGGGCUGGAUGGAGGAGGCUGGGGAGAGCUGGGCUGGCACUGGAGCUGUUUUGGGCCUGACUUGUGCUUUCUCAGCUACCCAUGCUACUCUUGGAGGAGCAGCUUUCUUGAACUGAGGUACGUGUUCACUAGUACUUCAGUUUUCUUUCCUUUUGUUUGUCUUUCUUUUUUCCAAGUAAGAUUGCUUGCCAAUGGGUUGGCAGAACAGUUUUUGACUCUAGUUCCAUGAGCAAUGUUGGGACUGUCACAUAUUUGGAGCAACUCUGCACGAGAUGCUUGGAAAGGGAGGGCACAGAAGCAUUUUGAAAUGGUGAGGCCAGAAAGAAAACCACUGACUGCAGAACUACAUCAAAGUGUCACAGCUGGGGAAAGCCCCUUGAGGUGAUAUCUACUACCUUUGUACUGAUAUUUUUUCCUGGGUAAACAGCGUUUUGUUUACUUAGCGCUUAGUGCCUCGCACUAAAAGAAUAGAAGUAGCAACCGAUUGUUGCGUCGAUAAGUCAGAGAGGUCAUGCUGAUGGGCCCAGAUCUGUCCCCCUUUUUCUUGACCCUGCUCUUGUAGGACUGCAAAACAGUCUUGGGGACAUACAGGGGCACAGCAAUGUCCUGAAAUUUGGGUGUCUGACACAGCUGUUCUCAGUUUCCUUCAGCCUUCCUGGCAUUAUUCCAGACUCAGCAUAAAGCAGUCACUAAUCCCCUUAAACCUUUGGAACAGAACAACAAAAUGAUGAGAGAAGGACAGCUCAAAGUAGAUGAGCAAUCCAGGGAAAAAUGCGCAUUUUAAAUGUGCUGUUCUUCCCUACAGGGAGUGGCAAAAUGCCUCUCACUGAUGGUUGUCUCCCUCUGGCUACAGAAAGGCUGCUUCUGACAGCUGUACAGUUCCCGGGCUUUUUUAUCUUUCCCUCUCUCCUCCCCUUGCCACAGGUAGCAAGGGGAGCUGCACCAGCUCUGACUUUUUACCAGUAAGUUCUGUAAGCUGAAAAUGAAAUAAAAUUAUGGAUUGAUGCUGGUAGGGCAAGGGUGCACUACAAACAAAAUAUUCUCUCUGUUGACAGCAUGAACGGAUGAGCCAUUGGGCUGCUCAUGCCUGGGAAAAGCACGUUGUAAACCAGAGAACUGAAGUACUCUUGUACCUGUGAGAGACUGUAAAACUCUCCUGCUUCAGAACAUGGGAUCCUGCCAUCAAGUCAAUCUCAGACCAUCAGCCCUCGACCCUGCAACAAAUGUUGUCUUCCCAGUCCUUUGGCACUCGCCACCCUUGCAGCAGGGCAGAUUUCUGCAGUUGUGAUGGGUGCCCUAAGCUCAGAGCGACAGCUCCCUUUCCCCCUGAGCUUCCCUAUUAGCCCUUUCUUCCCCCCAGUGUGGUGAGGUCCAGCUUCCUUCCUACUGCAGCUGCCUCUUCUCUUUUCCCAGUAUCAAAACUCACAAAUCCCACCACUGCCACCCUCAAGGAUUUUAAAUAACUUUAACAGGUUCUUUCCCUGGGUCAUUUCACUGUGCCCUUGGGCUGUUUUUUGUUUUUAUUUUAAUCUCCUAUUAUCUUUUAAUUUAAUUUUAUUUUAUGAAACUUCGGCAACUUUUGUUCUGAAAGAGCUCAGGCCUCCCAGGGAUGUGAUCCAUUUUAACCUCCUACCUUGGGCACUGAUCCUGGCUUUCAUCUACCCCCCUGCAAUGCACUGCUUUGGCCACUCAGCCAACAGACUGUGCAGGAGGGGCUUUUCCCAGACAAAUUCCCACAUAUGAGGUCUCAGAAUCACACCAUGGGAGAUAUGUAUUUACUGUUCUUUGUCAAUACCUACUUCUUUGCCCAAGCCACGAGGGCUUGCUGUCCUAAUCCUGCUAAAGGUAAUGGCCCAGCCAUUACGAAUCUCCGCCCGGCUCAGACAUUUGAUAUUGUGCAUGAAUUUCACUAAUUUACCUCCCAGAAUUUGAGAGAGGUGGGUCCGUAAUUUAAGCCUGAUUUGUGAUUCCAGCCCAGCUUGGAAAACCAUUGAAAUCUAACCCUCCCUGACGGUAGAGGGGACAGAACUCUCCUCCAGACUCUUGCAGAGGAAAGUACGUAGUUGCCUGCAGGUUUAUGGUGUGUGUGUGUGUGUGUGUGUGUGUGUGUGUGUGUGUGUGUAUGUGUGUGUGUGUGUGAAAAAAAAAAGCAUAAAACUGAACCUAGGAACCAUCAGGCCAGGUGUUUCACUCAGUGUUAUGGGUUUCAGGGUGUUGGCAAGCUGUGAUGCUCUUAAUGGACGUCCCAGGUUUCCUGCUGGGACAGAGAAAUGGUGCAUUUAGAUAUUAGUAAAGAGCAUUUCCAGAUACACUUGUGAAGGGAAGAAUUGAAAUUGCAAGGGCUUGGGUGAAAGCUGAAGAAUCUCUUGUUUAUAUAUCUGGGAACAAUGAAUAGUUUAUUCUGGGUACUUCAAUGUGCAGGAGGGGUUCUGCUUUAUCCCUCUCCUUUCGGUGGAAGCCCUGACUGCUUGCCUUGUCCUUGCUCAGAUCCUUCCCAAAACAGAGAGGAGUGAACACAGCCUGAGAUGUGCACCACAUACUGAGCUCCUACCUGUUUCUGGUGAAUAUGAGGAGGAGUUCAGGAGAAGGAUUUGAGGAUUUAAUUUGCUUUCUUUUCCUUUUAUAGUGGAGCAAGUCUAGUAAGCCUGCCUAUGAGAAAGACUUUUCAUGUGUUACAAAAAAGCUGGCUGCAUGAAGCUGACAGUUCAUUGGUAUCCAGGAAGAGGUCGAUUUCUUUCUUUAUAAACAUAUCAGAAUAAGGCUAUAGAAGUAAUAAAACAUUAAACCUUCACCUAUGGAGUUUCUUGGACUCUCCAUCAGAAGAGAAGUGAGGGAAAAAGUAAAAAAUCAUCAGUAUGCUUGUGCAUAUGUACUGGAUUAUUUCUCCAGAAAGGAAAGGAGUCAGUCUGUGAGUAUCUUUUGCAGGCUACAGACCCAUAUUAUCAACUGCAAUGAAACAAUGCUGGAAAGGAAUUGAAUAUUUUGGUGGAGAGUACUUGUAUGAGCUUCAAAAUCAUGUGUGUUCCAGCUGAAAGAUCAACAUAAUUUUGGUUUUAAAAUGCUGACUCUGCUCUGGACGGCUGCUGCUAUUAUGACUUCAUUAGUGUGGCACAGAUUCUUGUCUCCCUCACCCUGGCUUUACUCUGAAGUAGCUCUGUCAGCUCACUGGAGAUAUAUCUGACUUAAUUCAAGACGAGAAUCAGGACACAAAUGUCAUCUGCCUAACUCUUUCAGACAGGCAGGAACUUCUGGUUUGGAUCUCUUUGGGUUAAGAGGAAAAAAAAAAAAGCAAAAAAAAAAAAAAUUUAAAACCUCAAAAAGAAACAUAACCUUUCCUUCCCCUCUAUUUAGUGUGCUGGAGCUGCCCCACAAUGAGACAGUGCAUUUUCUAUUUUUCCUUCUGGGAAGCAGCUGGCUCCCCAGCAGUGACGUGUGGACCCAGCUCAGUUUGCUGCUGGAGCAGGAAGCAGUGGGUUUGCAGGGCUGACGCACUUUGGCUGCCUCUGCCACCCUCCAGCCUCUGAUGGCACAGGCCAAGCUCAUGCAGACAGAUAUGACCUAGAAGGAUGUUUAUGCAAUAAAGCAAUGAAGUAUUUGUUUCAGACAGCUCUGAUGACACUGAAAUUAUAUCACUAGAAAAGCAUCUUCUCUGAAAAUAAUUGCAGCCUACUGCUAGAUCUAGAUUUUGACAGAUUUUGAAAAAAAAAUUUACUGCCUACAUGACCUGGUGUGGGUGUAGUGCAAAAUAUCAAGCUAAAGCAGAGAUGAUGAGAAUGACAAAACAUUCACAUGGCAUGAGUAAGGUCCCAGUGCAGAAAAAUGGCAGAUUUGGGAGUUUGUUCUGGGUUUUCACAGAAUCCAUGAAACCAUGAUAACUGUGUUGUGGUGGGUUGUCCGUGGCUGGAUGUCACUCUAUGCCACCCAAGCCGUUCAAUCCUUCCCCUCCUCAGCUGAACAGGGGAGAGAACAUGUAACAAAAAGCUUGUGAGUCAAGACAAGGACAGGGAGAAAUCCCUCAGUAUGAAAGCCACGGGCAAAACACACUUGACUCGGGUAAAUUACUUAUUUAUUAAUAAAGAAAUGAGAGUAGGGUGAUGAGACAUAAAGCAAAACCUAAAAUACCUCCCCCCUACUUCUCCCUUUUUUCCAGGCUUAGCUUUAAUCAUAAAUUCUCUACCUCUGUUCCCCCAGCAGCACAGGGAGAUGGGGAAUGGGGUUUGCAGUCAGUUCGUCACGUUUCUGCUGCUCUUCCCUAUUCAAGAGGAGGGUUCCUUAUGAUCUUACUGUGCUCCAGUGUGGGUCUCCUUCACAGGGUGCAAUCAUUCAGGAACAGAUUACUCCAGUGUUCCCCUGUGGGGUCACAAGUCCUGACAGAAAACCUGCUCCAGCAAAGGCUUCUCAUGAGGUCACAGCCUCCUUCAGGCAUCCACCUGCUCCAGUGUGGGGUCCUCCAGGGUCUGCAGGUGGAUCUCUGAACCAUCUCGGACCUCCAUGUCUGCAGGGAGAAAACCUGCUUCACCAUGGUCUUCACUAUGGGCUGCAGGGGAGCCAGUGCCUGGAGCAACUCCUGCUCCUCUUUCUUCACAGACCUUGGUGUUAGCAGCUGCUGCUCUGACAUAUAAAUUAUUGCUCCUCUCUCUGGCUGCAAUUUGCUCUUGUGUAGUAGCUUUGCCCCCUUUUAUCUACAUUAUCCCAGAGGCUCUACUGUUGCUGAUGGGCUCAGCCCUGGCUACUAAAACCUUGCUCAGCAAACUUGAUAGAAGCGUACAGGUCCGGUGGUUUGCCAGAGGAAAAGAGAUUGGAAAUUUUUUCUCCAGUGUGAGCUCUUUGCUUGUGAGUACAGUUAAAGAUGUUGAGAGAGAAUUCUGUGUGACAAUUGGCACAAAGCCCAUUGGACCCAAGGGGUUUUGAUUUCUUACACAGGCCAGAAGAAGACCUUAUGAACUGUUGUCUUGCCAGGGCAAGUGACACAAACAGAUUGCUAGUAUAAACAGUGAUUUAUUGGUAUUAAUUAAUUAUGACCAACUAAUGGCAGACCUACUAAUUGUAGAUACCAACCAAUUAUUCUUAAGGAAAAAUACUACCCCUGCAACUUUUCUCCCACUGGUCUAGGAGAAUUUGAUCUGAUCUUCUUUAGAUGGUAUGAGGCCCAAGGUCACUCCUAGACUUCUGACUGAUGAAUGGGAGUUGUUGAAGGAUGUUGUUUUUAUUUGGUAGUUUGGUUUAAACCAACAUAUGACAUUGUCUACACACUGCCAGAGGCUUUGGAAGUGGAGUUUCUAGAGCCAUCUACAAACCAGUCAUCAUAGUACUUUGCAGACUGUGCUGUAGCUCAUGCAAGCCAGCACUUUACUACUACACAAAACAAUAGGCUGAAUUCAUCAAAGUGAUAGUGGGGUCAAAAGGGUAGAGUUGCCAAGGCAUAACUCACCGUAGUCAAAGGUAAUUUUAGUUUUAUUUCCUUUUUGAUUAAUGUUUAAACGUUGAUUAAAAUUUUUCCAGGGGAGAACAAUAGAGCUGUGGGAUAGAUGUUUAACUGAUAAUGCAAAACAAUUAAAAAUAAAAAGUCCCCCUAAACCUCUCAGCAGAACUUUUUCCAAGAGAAGUCCUUCAUGUCAAAGCUAAACAUGCAGCUCCCUUUCCACCUCUGUUGCUCUGCGAAUGAGGGCUGUCGGUAAAUAAAACUAACGUGUUGCCCAUCUGUUAUGCACAGCUAAAGGAAAUUUAAAGACAAUACUACCAGAACUCCCAAAGAUACCAUCUAACUCCAUAAAUAAUUUAUUUUUACAGCUCAGAUCAAAGAGCUCGUGGAUACUGGGCUCAUUACGUCAUGGCGUGCCCUUUGGAAGAAACUCCCACAGUCAUGUGAUUGUUUUUCCACUGCCCUCUGAAAAAGUCCUCAGGCUCAGAAGUUCCCUUUGCUCUGACUCCCUCUCCCGUCCCUGGGAUUAUGUUCCAUAUCAGUUAUGCUGUGGCUGUUCAAACCAUCCUCUCUAGAUUAGCAAGGAUUUUUACUUUUCCCGGAUGCUGCUGAGAUCUCCUGUUGAUCUGAGGAAGGUGUUGGGAAACAGUGUGAAUGGUGGACCAUCAGCAACACCUUGAAGAAGGGACUUUUCACCCCAAAGUGUGACGCUUCAGGAAAAUGUUGGUGCCAUUCCUACUAGAUAAAGCAAGGGAGGAUCAGGCUUUGUGGACCAUGCCAUGGCCUGGGGCCUCAGCUCUUGUGUAGUGGAUUAGAAGUGGUAUCAUGGUGUUAUCACACAUGGGAGACUAACACCUCUCGCAAUAUUUUUAAAGCAGGCCAGAGCAUGCAAGGUUAUGUGUCAUGUUGGGUGAUGUGUCUGGCGUGUCAAGCCACAAAAAGUGGAGAACAGGCUGCAUGGAGGGGCAGACAAGUGUCAGCUGGGAAUACUCAUGAUGGUCCAAGGCAAGGGAGCAACCAAGAUGUUGGCUUUUCAGUGCUGACUGCUCUGUAUCUAUGGACAACUUAGAGUUCACAACCAGAUGCAGAUUAAUGCAGAGAAGCCAGACAAAAUCAGUCUUCUCAUUCCUGCUUAAAUGGUUACUACUGAUUUUUCUCAUGAAGCAAGGCAUAUUGCUUCAUCUAUAUGGCAGCCAUGGAUAAUGGCUGUCAUGUUGUUCCCAAGGAAUACUUUUUGGAAACUGGUCCUUUAAAUCUGGCAGAGCAAAACAUCUUUGGUUCUAACACAGUCAUUUUGAGAUUUGAUCUUCCUCUCAGGCUGGUAAGCAUUCUUAAAUUCUUUUUCUUCCUUCUUUUACUUUGAAGUGUUGCUGAGGAAACUUGAUGACUUUAGCACACUGCCUGUGAUAACAUUGAUAAAAAUAAUCUCUGUAGCAGUCUGGAGCCCUCUAAGAAGCAGACUGCAUGCACAGCUCAGGCAGCUUACAAAGCUCUGACAGUAGGAAAGCGUGGCCAGGGCCGGAGAUGGGUGGUAAAACAAGCCCCAUUUCUUGUAGCCUGUUCAGCCAGGAGGGGCUGGGGAGAAUGGUCACACUCAGAGAUUACUUUGGCAGCUCCUUAAGUUUCCCUGCUUGUAGCCACUUUUCAUUCUCUGGAGGCUGAGGUCCCUGUUUGGUGGGCUGGGCAAAUGUGUUUUGAAUUGCCACUCAGGGUAUGUCUGAGCACUGAGAUGAGCACUAGGGCUGCUCACAGUGCAGAUCAGCAUGCAUUCUGUUAGCUCUCUAAAUUACAGGAAUGGGACCACUUAUUUUUGAGAAAGAAAUCUCGGCUACACCUUCUUCUAAGCUCUAAUUAUUUACACAUACACAAGAAAAGAGAUUUUCCUCAACUUUACAUACUUAAGGCAGUAGCUAAAUAUCUCAAGAUCUCAUUACUUUAACAUACUCUUUGCUUUAAUAACCUGCUUUAAUUUAUUUUUAUUUAAUGUAUUUUACUGUGUUGGAUCCAUAUCUUUUAAAAAGACAAGAGGAAAUAUGAGUAAUUAGAAAGUAGUAACAUCUGUACUGAAUGAUUCUUAUUGCUUAAUAAAAAACUUUGAAAGUGAAAUAAAAUAUUAAGACUACCAUGAAAUACCUGAAUGUGGCUGGUAUAGCUUUUGCAGUCUAUUAAUAAAUUUCACUUAGGUCAUAAUAAAAUAAAAUAACAGAUGGAGGAAAGUUGGUUGAUACAUUUAAUUUAAUUCUCAUCUUGGUAAAUAGCUUGCCCAAAAUGGACAGUUAUGGUGUGAGAAACAAAGUGUUUUGAGAAAUCCCCCUUCCUGCCUUGGCAAACUCCAAGAAUAUUGUAGCAAAAUGUUUCCAAAAAGGGAGCUGAAUUCAUAUCUUGUGAUAGGAAUUGCUUUAUUUGCUAAUGAUAUGCAAUAGGACACAAAAAAUGUGCCGUGUAAUAGCACAAAAUUGUUUCAGCGAGUGUGACUGAGGAGAAAGUCAGAUGGACUUAACUUUCUUGAAUGAAUGACAAAAUUCAGAGGAGGCUAGAAAGUAACAUGUUUUUGGAAGAAUCAUCUGGAACUCUGAUUUACCCUAUCACCACAGAAAAAGAUCUUAAACAAAAGCCAACCAACAGAGAUAAGGGAGAUCUCUGCAAUGGGAAGAGAGAAGAUCAUUUUGGUUACUUGCUGUAGGUCUUGUGUGUCUGCCACAGAAUCACCUAGACAUGGCUGGAAACUGAACUGCAUCCUGAGAGUUGGACUCUGACCCAGUAUGGCAUUUUUUAGAUCCUGAAAAUUGGUAUUUGGGUGGUGUGGUGAAAGCUUUGCAUUCAGCAGAUUUGCAUACUGAGAAAUAGGAUGUCAAACAAUUAAAUGCUCUGAUACCUUCACAGUGAUGUGGCCUCAUCAGAAAUACUGUGCUCAGUUCAGUCAGCCAAGCUGUUUUAGACUUUGUUCUGGAAAAGAGAUAAAUGCCUCUGGAGAUGCUGAAAUGGCCAGUUCUUGAAGAUAAGGCUGUGGACUAGCUGGGGUGAUUCCUCUGACACAGUGGUGCAUUUCCUUUGUCUCUAGCAUGUUAAAUAUUUAGGCAGUGACUGUUUCAUUUCCUGAAGUUUCAUUCAUCUUGUUUAAAGAUGCACUUAACUGAUAUUUAAUAAAAUAUUGUGGAUACUCUUGAAUUUAA